Molecule: ribosomal RNA, 253 nt
Filed under: uncultured bacterium
Lineage: Bacteria
Description: partial 16S ribosomal RNA
Rfam family: Bacterial small subunit ribosomal RNA
Source: RNAcentral
UACGUAGGCAGCAAGCGUUGUUCGGAAUUACUGGGCGUAAAGAGUGUGUAGGCGGUGCUCUAAGUUCGGUGUGAAAUCUCCCGGCUCAACUGGGAGGGUGCGCCGAAAACUGGAGUGCUGGAGCGCGGGAGAGGAAAGCGGAAUUCCUGGUGUAGCGGUGAAAUGCGUAGAUAUCAGGAGGAACACCGGUGGUGUAGACGGCUUUCUGGACCGUAACUGACGCUGAGACACGAAAGCGUGGGUAGCAAACAGG